GCCUUCGUGGUGUAGUGGUCAGCACCUUCGACUCGUAAUCGAGAGGUCCGUGGUUCGAUUCCCGGCGAAGGCG
Molecule: non-coding RNA, 73 nt
Organism: Stegodyphus mimosarum
Lineage: Eukaryota; Metazoa; Arthropoda; Arachnida; Araneae; Eresidae
Source: Rfam